AAACAGUGCGCUCUACUUAUGGCUCUUCUCGACUCUCAGCACGGCCCUUGCAGGUCAUUACAAUGUCUGCGACGUUGACCCCAGGACAGCGAUGUUUAUGGCAACGGCCAUUGGACGUUCUACGAAUCAUAUAUUUAAGGUCUGUUCCCUCAUAAUCAAAGACCUCCACAAGAAGCUCGAUUCCAGUACAUUUAUUAAGCUCAUAGAUUUUGCAUGUGACAACGGUUAUAUCUGCGUCGAGAAGGUUGGAGAGGAUAUCCCAAAG
This is a long non-coding RNA of Ornithodoros turicata, 265 nucleotides long. RefSeq lists it as uncharacterized. The record is from RefSeq and is a predicted model, not a curated record. Lineage: Eukaryota; Metazoa; Arthropoda; Arachnida; Ixodida; Argasidae. The transcript has 3 exons.